This 458-nucleotide ribosomal RNA is filed under the name uncultured bacterium. RNAcentral's name for it is "partial 16S ribosomal RNA". It matches the Rfam family "Bacterial small subunit ribosomal RNA", at positions 338 to 795 of the family's 1533-position model. The record is from RNAcentral.
CCUACGGGUGGCAGCAGUGGGGAAUAUUGCACAAUGGGGGAAACCCUGAUGCAGCGACGCCGCGUGAGUGAAGAAGUAAUUCGUUACGUAAAGCUCUAUCAGCAGGGAAGAAACACUGACCUUACGGUCAGCAGACGGUACCUGAGUAAGAAGCCCCGGCUAACUACGUGCCAGCAGCCGCGGGCAUACGUAGGGGGCAAGCGUUAUCCGGAUUUACUGGGGGUAAAGGGAGCGGAGACGGUGCGCCAAGUCUGGAGUGAAAUGCCGCAGCUUAACGGCGGAAGUGGGUUGGAAGAUGGCGACCUAGAGGGCGGGAAGGGUAGGCGGAAUUCCUGGGGUAGCGGUGAAAGGCGUAGAUAUUAGGAGGAACACCGGGGGCGAAGGCGGCUUACUGGACCGUAACUGACGUUGAGGCUCGAAAGCGUGGGGAGCAAACAGGAUUAGAUACCCCUGUAGUC